CAAUAGCGUACAUUAAAGUUGCUGCAGUUAAAAAGCUCGUAGUUGCAUUUCCGAGGCAAGGGAUUAGUCCGACCUUUGGUGGGUAUUUAAUCCUCUUGCCUCGUCCUUGAGUGGUGCUUCUUGGUAUUAAGUUAUCGAGGAGAUAGCCGCUCAUCGUUUACUGUGAGAAAAUUAGAGUGUUCAAAGCAGGCUUAUGCCGUUGAAUAUAUUAGCAUGGAAUAAUAAGAUAGGACCUCGGUACUAUUUUGUUGGUUUGAGAACCAAGGUAAUGAUGAAUAGGGACAGUUGGGGGUAUUCGUAUUCAGUUGUCAGAGGUGAAAUUCUUAGAUUUACGGAAGACGAACUACUGCGAAAGCAUUUACCAAGGAUGUUUUCAUUAA
RNAcentral lists this ribosomal RNA (380 nucleotides) under uncultured eukaryote. Its description in RNAcentral is "partial 18S ribosomal RNA". It matches the Rfam family "Eukaryotic small subunit ribosomal RNA", at positions 592 to 976 of the family's 1831-position model. The record is from RNAcentral.